Molecule: long non-coding RNA, 752 nt
Organism: Scylla paramamosain (green mud crab)
Lineage: Eukaryota; Metazoa; Arthropoda; Malacostraca; Decapoda; Portunidae
Exons: 2
Source: RefSeq, a predicted model, not a curated record
AGACAAUGGUGUGCGCCAUGGUGUCCCAGAGGUAGCAGGUGCGGUCGUAGCCAGAAGUCAGGAACUGGUGGUGGCUGGGGUGAGGUGCCAGGCCCCACAACUCCUCAGUGUGGCCCUGGGGAGCAGUGAGUCAGUGUCCACCAUCACCAGCACCACCAGCACAGCGCCUCACCUGCAUGACGGGGCGCAUGUCAAAGGUGAAGGUUCCCUCCAGCACACAGUUGCGGAUGGUGCCGAUCACCAGCUGGGAUCCACGGCCGGAGGUCACCACACGGGGGGGACCGUACUGAUCUGGCACCUGCAUCACAUUCCGGUGCGCUCCAGGUCACGGUCCCACUCCACAAUGUUGCCGUCCUUGCCACCUGUGAUAAUUGUGCCGUCCUUCUGCACCAGGAUGGAGAACACCGGUCCCUCGUGGGCACCCCGUACCAUCUUGUCCACCGUGUUGCCGCCUGGAGAGCAUUGAGGGUGGAUGUUUGGAGUGAAGGCCCAGGAGGAGGAAGUGAAGGAAGGUCAAGGUGAUACAGAUGAAGGAGAAAGGAAAGGAAGUGGAGAGGAAAGGAAGAUUGAAAUAGAUGUUCGACUACAGCCUAUAUUCUAAAAUGCUUUGCUCUCUCUCUCUCUCUCUCUCUCUCUCUCUCUCUCUCUCAAUACUUUCCAAAGCCACAGAGAUGAUUUGCCAAGUUCUCAAGAGUGCUUCUCCUUUCCUUCACUUCAUCUACCUUUCCUUACUUUGUCUCAUUUCUUUCUCA